UACGUAGGGUGCGAGCGUUGUCCGGACUUAUUGGGCGUAAAGAGCUCGUAGGCGGCCUGUUGCGUCCGCUGUGAAAGCCCGGGGCUUAACCCCGGGUCGGCAGUGGAUACGGGCAGGCUAGAGGUAGGUAGGGGAGAAUGGAAUUCCCGGUGUAGCGGUGAAAUGCGCAGAUAUCGGGAGGAACACCGGUGGCGAAGGCGGUUCUCUGGGCCUUACCUGACGCUGAGGAGCGAAAGCGUGGGGAGCGAACAGG
This 253-nucleotide ribosomal RNA is filed under the name uncultured bacterium. RNAcentral describes it as "partial 16S ribosomal RNA". It matches the Rfam family "Bacterial small subunit ribosomal RNA", at positions 524 to 776 of the family's 1533-position model. The record is from RNAcentral.